GACGAACGCUGGCGGCGUGCCUAAUACAUGCCAGUUGAGCGCUGAAGGUUGGUACUUGUACCAACUGGAUGAGCAGCGAACGGGUGAGUAACGCGUGGGGAAUCUGCCUUUGAGCGGGGGACAACAUUUGGAAACGAAUGCUAAUACCGCAUAAAAACUUUAAACACAAGUUUUAAGUUUGAAAGAUGCAAUUGCAUCACUCAAAGAUGAUCCCGCGUUGUAUUAGCUAGUUGGUGAGGUAAAGGCUCACCAAGGCGAUGAUACAUAGCCGACCUGAGAGGGUGAUAGGCCACAUUGGGACUGAGACACGGCCCAAACUCCUACGGGAGGCAGCAGUAGGGAAUCUUCGGCAAUGGACGAAAGUCUGACCGAGCAACGCCGCGUGAGGGAAGAAGGGUUUCGGAUCGUAAAACUCUGUUGGUAGAGAAGAACGUUGGUGAGAGUGGAAAGCUCAUCAAGUGACGGUAACUACCCAGAAAGGGACGGCUAACUACGUG
Molecule: ribosomal RNA, 497 nt
Filed under: uncultured bacterium
Lineage: Bacteria
Description: partial 16S ribosomal RNA
Rfam family: Bacterial small subunit ribosomal RNA
Source: RNAcentral